Molecule: ribosomal RNA, 250 nt
Filed under: uncultured bacterium
Lineage: Bacteria
Description: partial 16S ribosomal RNA
Rfam family: Bacterial small subunit ribosomal RNA
Source: RNAcentral
UAGAUACCCUGGUAGUCCACGCCGUAAACGAUGGAUACUAGCUGUUGGAGGUAUCGACCCCUUCAGUAGCGAAGCUAACGCGUUAAGUAUCCCGCCUGUGGAGUACGGCCGCAAGGCUAAAACAUAAAGGAAUUGACGGGGACCCGCACAAGCGGUGGAUCAUGUUCUUUAAUUCGAUGAUAAACGAAGAACCUUACCAGGGUUUGACAUCCCGAGAAGAUUUACGAAAGUAGAUUGUGCCUUUUGGAAC